This 491-nucleotide ribosomal RNA is filed under the name uncultured bacterium. RNAcentral's name for it is "partial 16S ribosomal RNA". It matches the Rfam family "Bacterial small subunit ribosomal RNA", at positions 29 to 506 of the family's 1533-position model. The record is from RNAcentral.
AGUGAACGCUGGCGGUAGGCCUAACACAUGCAAGUCGAACGGCAGCACAGUAAGAGCUUGCUCUUACGGGUGGCGAGUGGCGGACGGGUGAGGAAUACAUCGGAAUCUACUUUUUCGUGGGGGAUAACGUAGGGAAACUUACGCUAAUACCGCAUACGACCUACGGGUGAAAGCAGGGGAUCUUCGGACCUUGCGCGAUUGAAUGAGCCGAUGUCGGAUUAGCUAGUUGGCGGGGUAAAGGCCCACCAAGGCGACAAUCCGUAGCGGGUCUGAGAGGAUGAUCAGCCACACUGGAACUGAGACACGGUCCAGACUCCUACGGGAGGCAGCAGUGGGGAAUAUUGGACAAUGGGCGCAAGCCUGAUCCAGCCAUACCGCGUGGGUGAAGAAGGCCUUCGGGUUGUAAAGCCCUUUUGUUGGGAAAGAAAAGCAGCAGGUUAAUACCCCGCUGUUCUGACGGUACCCAAAGAAUAAGCACCGGCUAACUUCGU